GAUGAACGCUGGCGGCGUGCCUAAUACAUGCAAGUCGAGCGAACAGACGAGAGUGCUUGCACUCUCUGACGUUAGCGGCGGACGGGUGAGUAACACGUGGGUAACCUACCUAUAAGACUGGGAUAACUUCGGGAAACCUGAGCUAAUACCGGAUAAUAUUUAGCUUCGCAUGAAGCAAUAGUGAAAGACGGUUCUGCUGUCACUUAUAGAUGGACCCGCGGUGUAUUAGCUAGUUGGUGAGGUAACGGCUCACCAAGGCAACGAUACAUAGCCGACCUGAGAGGGUGAUCGGCCACACUGGGACUGAGACACGGCCCAGACUCCUACGGGAGGCAGCAGUAGGGAAUCUUCCGCAAUGGACGAAAGUCUGACGGAGCAAUGCCGCGUGAGUGAAGAAGGUUUUCGGAUCGUAAAACUCUGUUGUAAGGGAAGAACAAGUACGUUAGUAACUGAACGUACCUUGACGGUACCUUACCAGAAAGCCACGGCUAACUACGUG
RNAcentral lists this ribosomal RNA (499 nucleotides) under uncultured bacterium. RNAcentral's name for it is "partial 16S ribosomal RNA". It matches the Rfam family "Bacterial small subunit ribosomal RNA", at positions 28 to 507 of the family's 1533-position model. The record is from RNAcentral.